RNAcentral lists this ribosomal RNA (239 nucleotides) under uncultured bacterium. RNAcentral's name for it is "partial 16S ribosomal RNA". It matches the Rfam family "Bacterial small subunit ribosomal RNA", at positions 95 to 334 of the family's 1533-position model. The record is from RNAcentral.
CCGGCGCACGGGUGAGUAACACGUAUCCAACCUGCCGUCUACUCUUGGACAGCCUUCUGAAAGGAAGAUUAAUACAAGAUGGCAUCAUGAGUCCGCAUGUUCACAUGAUUAAAGGUAUUCCGGUAGACGAUGGGGAUGCGUUCCAUUAGGUAGUAGGCGGGGUAACGGCCCACCUAGUCUUCGAUGGAUAGGGGUUCUGAGAGGAAGGUCCCCCACAUUGGAACUGAGACACGGUCCAA